RNAcentral lists this unclassified non-coding RNA (338 nucleotides) under uncultured fungus. RNAcentral describes it as "partial contains small subunit ribosomal RNA, internal transcribed spacer 1, and 5.8S ribosomal RNA". The stretch from base 1 to 73 matches the Rfam family "Eukaryotic small subunit ribosomal RNA", at positions 1759 to 1831 of the family's 1831-position model. Lineage: Eukaryota; Fungi. The record is from RNAcentral.
UCAAACUUGGUCAUUUAGAGGAAGUAAAAGUCGUAACAAGGUUUCCGUAGGUGAACCUGCGGAAGGAUCAUUAGAAAUUUACACCCCCCAUCUUGAAUAUACCGUUAGUGUGGACCCAAGAGGGAUGUGUCAACCAAUUGUGAACCUCCCCGCCUUUGCUUUGGCAGCGCUCUACGGGCAACCGUAGAGGUAAGGCUGCCAGAAGCUCUCAGUAAAACCAGUUGAUGAGAAACUUCCAUGCUGUCUGAUAUUUUUUUUUUUUCUGGAUCAGAAAUAAAAUCAUUAUAAAAACUUUCGGCAACGGAUCUCUUGGUUCCCGCAUCGAUGAAGAACGCAGC